RNAcentral lists this unclassified non-coding RNA (305 nucleotides) under plant metagenome. RNAcentral's name for it is "partial contains 5.8S ribosomal RNA, internal transcribed spacer 2, and large subunit ribosomal RNA". The stretch from base 1 to 105 matches the Rfam family "5.8S ribosomal RNA", at positions 50 to 154 of the family's 154-position model. The record is from RNAcentral.
GAAAUGCGAUAAGUAAUGUGAAUUGCAGAAUUCAGUGAAUCAUCGAAUCUUUGAACGCACAUUGCGCCCGCCAGUAUUCUGGCGGGCAUGCCUGUUCGAGCGUCAUUUCAACCAUCAAGCCCCCGGCUUGUGUUGGGGACCUGCGGCUGCCCGCAGGCCCUGAAAAACAGUGGCGGGCUCGCUGUCACACCGAGCGUAGUAGCAUACAUUCUCGCUCAGGGCGUGCUGCGGGUUCCGGCCGUUAAACGACCUUCGUAACCCAAGGUUGACCUCGGAUCAGGUAGGAAGACCCGCUGAACUUAAGC